UGUCGAUGAAGAGCGCAGCAAACUGUGGGAAUUCAUGUGAACUGCAUGCUCAUUUGAACAUUGACAUCUUGAACGCACAUUGCGGCCACGGGUCCGCCCGUGGCUACGUCUGUCCGAGGGUCG
Molecule: ribosomal RNA, 123 nt
Filed under: Opistholebes amplicoelus
Lineage: Eukaryota; Metazoa; Platyhelminthes; Trematoda; Plagiorchiida; Opecoelidae
Also listed under: 5 other names
Description: partial 5.8S ribosomal RNA
Rfam family: 5.8S ribosomal RNA
About the family: 5.8S ribosomal RNA (5.8S rRNA) is a component of the large subunit of the eukaryotic ribosome. It is transcribed by RNA polymerase I as part of the 45S precursor that also contains 18S and 28S rRNA.
Source: RNAcentral